ACGAACGCUGGCGGCGUGCCUAAUACAUGCAAGUAGAACGCUGAAGGAGGAGCUUGCUUCUCUGGAUGAGUUGCGAACGGGUGAGUAACGCGUAGGUAACCUGCCUGGUAGCGGGGGAUAACUAUUGGAAACGAUAGCUAAUACCGCAUAAGAGUAGAUGUUGCAUGACAUUUGCUUAAAAGGUGCAAUUGCAUCACUACCAGAUGGACCUGCGUUGUAUUAGCUAGUUGGUGGGGUAACGGCUCACCAAGGCGACGAUACAUAGCCGACCUGAGAGGGUGAUCGGCCACACUGGGACUGAGACACGGCCCAGACUCCUACGGGAGGCAGCAGUAGGGAAUCUUCGGCAAUGGACGGAAGUCUGACCGAGCAACGCCGCGUGAGUGAAGAAGGUUUUCGGAUCGUAAAGCUCUGUUGUAAGAGAAGAACGAGUGUGAGAGUGGAAAGUUCACACUGUGACGGUAUCUUACCAGAAAGAGACGGCUAACUACGUG
This 494-nucleotide ribosomal RNA is filed under the name uncultured bacterium. RNAcentral describes it as "partial 16S ribosomal RNA". It matches the Rfam family "Bacterial small subunit ribosomal RNA", at positions 29 to 507 of the family's 1533-position model. The record is from RNAcentral.